GACGAACGCUGGCGGCGUGCUUAACACAUGCAAGUCGAACGGAAAGGCCCUGCUAUUGUGGGGUGCUCGAGUGGCGAACGGGUGAGUAACACGUGAGUAUCCUGCCCUUGACUUUGGGAUAACUUCAGGAAACUGGGGCUAAUACCGGAUAGGAGCUCCUGCUGCAUGGUGGGGGUUGGCAAGUUUCGACGGUUGGGGAUGGACUCGCGGCUUGUCAGCUUGGUGGUGGGGUAGUGGCUUACCAAGGCUUUGACGGGUAGCCGGCCUGAGAGGGUGACCGGCCACAUUAGGACUGAGAUACGGCCCAGACUCCUACGGGAGGCAACAGUGGGGAAGAGUGCACAAUGGGCUGAAGGCUGACGCAACAACGCCGCGUGCGGGAUGACGGGCUGCGGGUUGUAAACCGCUUCCGCCUGUGACGAAGCGUUAGUGACGGUAAUGGGUAAAGAAGCACCGGCUAACUACGUG
Molecule: ribosomal RNA, 468 nt
Filed under: uncultured bacterium
Lineage: Bacteria
Description: partial 16S ribosomal RNA
Rfam family: Bacterial small subunit ribosomal RNA
Source: RNAcentral